RNAcentral lists this ribosomal RNA (366 nucleotides) under uncultured bacterium. Its description in RNAcentral is "bacterial SSU rRNA". It matches the Rfam family "Bacterial small subunit ribosomal RNA", at positions 28 to 394 of the family's 1533-position model. The record is from RNAcentral.
GACGAACGCUGGCGGCGUGCUUAACACAUGCAAGUCGAACGAUGAAGCUGGAGCUUGCUCCGGUGGAUUAGUGGCGAACGGGUGAGUAACACGUGAGCAAUCUGCCCUUGACUCUGGGAUAACUGCGGGAAACUGUAGCUAAUACCGGAUAUUUUCCCUGGUGGGCAUCCACUGGGGAAGAAAGAAUUUCGGUCAAGGAUGAGCUCGCGGCCUAUCAGCUAGCUGGUGAGGUAAUGGCUCACCAAGGCGACGACGGGUAGCCGGCCUGAGAGGGUGACCGGCCACACUGGAACUGAGACACGGUCCAGACUCCUACGGAGGCAGCAGUGGGGAUAUUGCACAAUGGGCGAAAGCCUGAUGCAGCAA